UGAACGGUAAGAACCCCAUUUUCAAGAGAAGGAGGAGGAAGAAGAAGAGGAGGAGAAAGCAACACUAGCAGCCACAGCAGAAGGGAAAAAACAGAGGAGAAUCUCUUUCGUAGAACAUCAGAACAGAUGGGAUGCGAGCAGAUGAAAUACAAGAUGGAGGCAAAUGCUGUUAUUUCAAAAUGGAACUUUUUAUAAGGUUUUUGCAUUAAGUUUGGCACAGUUUGCAUUAAUUUGUCAUUAAAGCAUUAUGAAG
Zalophus californianus (California sea lion) is the source of this 253-nucleotide long non-coding RNA. RefSeq lists it as uncharacterized. Lineage: Eukaryota; Metazoa; Chordata; Mammalia; Carnivora; Otariidae. The record is from RefSeq and is a predicted model, not a curated record. The transcript is spliced from 2 exons.